This 506-nucleotide ribosomal RNA is filed under the name uncultured bacterium. RNAcentral's name for it is "partial 16S ribosomal RNA". It matches the Rfam family "Bacterial small subunit ribosomal RNA", at positions 29 to 523 of the family's 1533-position model. The record is from RNAcentral.
AUUGAACGCUGGCGGCAGGCCUAACACAUGCAAGUCGGACGGUAGCACAGAGGAGCUUGCUCCUUGGGUGACGAGUGGCGGACGGGUGAGUAAUGUCUGGGGAUCUGCCCGAUAGAGGGGGAUAACCACUGGAAACGGUGGCUAAUACCGCAUAACGUCGCAAGACCAAAGAGGGGGACCUUCGGGCCUCUCACUAUCGGAUGAACCCAGAUGGGAUUAGCUAGUAGGCGGGGUAAUGGCCCACCUAGGCGACGAUCCCUAGCUGGUCUGAGAGGAUGACCAGCCACACUGGAACUGAGACACGGUCCAGACUCCUACGGGAGGCAGCAGUGGGGAAUAUUGCACAAUGGGCGCAAGCCUGAUGCAGCCAUGCCGCGUGUAUGAAGAAGGCCUUCGGGUUGUAAAGUACUUUCAGCGGGGAGGAAGGCGAUGCGGUUAAUAACCGCAUCGAUUGACGUUACCCGCAGAAGAAGCACCGGCUAACUCCGUGCCAGCCGCUGCGGUAA